Molecule: long non-coding RNA, 1681 nt
Organism: Neofelis nebulosa (Clouded leopard)
Lineage: Eukaryota; Metazoa; Chordata; Mammalia; Carnivora; Felidae
Exons: 2
Source: RefSeq, a predicted model, not a curated record
UCCGAGUCAGGACAGUGGUGGCUGUGACCUGCUCUGAGUUGACAGUGUGGGACUUCACCUGAGCCCCGUGCUCUCCGAAACUCCAGAGGUUAAGUGCCCCACCCUGUGCUCCAGCAAAGAGCUACGGCACGACGUCCCUGCCCUGUGGACUUAGACCAGCUGUGCCCGUGCCCCUGUUAACUUGCGUCAGGCCAGGCACGGACCUCCAGGUUCCCAUUCUCUGCCCAUAAAAGAUUAGCCAAACUGGACCACACGGACGGCUGGACAAAAUGCCGGCAGUGAGCCGGACCGAUUUCAGUCGGGCCUCCCCACCCCGCAACAGGCCCAACUGUGCCCAGCCCCGCGGUGGGCAAGAGCCCACUGCACAGCCCUCCUGAGGACCAGCGGGCACAAACCAGAUGCCCCCUGCUCAUGACCCAUCCAGCCCUGCACCCUGUGUGCUCCUCCCUAAAGGAAACACCUUUCCCCUUACCUUUGAGACGCUCCAGAUCUUACACUGAAUUAACCCCCUCCUGAUAUGACAGCCCCUCCCCUGUUGUAACAAGUCCUCCCCGUGCAAUAGCCCCUCCCCCAUAUUCAUAGCCCCGCCCCUGUUGUAAUAACCCCGCCUCUAUAUUCAUAGCCUCUCCCCGUAAUAGCCCCGCCCAUAGUAAUAGCCCCGCCCCUGUUGUAAUAGCCCCUCCUCUAUAUUCAUAGCCUCUCCCCGUAAUAGCCCCGCCCAUAGUAAUAGCCCCGCCCCUGUUGUAAUAGCCCCUCCCCCAUUGUAGUAGCCCCUUCCAUAGCAAUAGCCCCUCCCCAAUUGUUACAGCCCCUUUCCUGCUCUAACGACUCCUCCCCCUAUGGUUAUGGCUCCUCCUCUGCUACAACAGCCCCUCUUCUGUUGUCAUGGUCCCCACCUCUGUUGUAACAGCCCCUCUCUUAUUGCAAUAGCCUCCCCACCCCCGCAGUCAUCUUCAAAUCAAGCGUCUCCUUCCCCAGCCCUGACUCACUCUCCAUCUGACACAGGCGUCAGUCCCAGGCACAGGGCAACAGUGCCCCAUGGGACGCGAGCCUCCCUGGGCUUCCCUGCGGGGAUUUUCUAGAGUCAAAGGGCUGAGCCCCUACUCUCCUAAAAUCCACAAGGUGUCCCGUGAGCCCCUCACCACCUGAAUAUGGUGGCCUAGGGGGGGGUCUCUUCACUUGGCGGGGGAGUCCCCACACUCCACCUCGUGCUGGCUGCCCCCGCCCGUCCGCUCAGCCGCCUGGGGUGGUGCAUGACUGCAGGGCUCAACGGAGGCAGAUUGUGCCACGGAGGUGCUCCAGCAGCAUGAGGCAGGUUCCUGGAAAGCUGGGCCGCGUGGGAGUGGACGGCCAAGACCCUGGCCCAGCGCCGGGCCUGGCGGGCGCUCAGCAAAUGCCACUGGAGCCUGAGAGACCCCGAUGGGGACACUGCCAUCCCCAGUGAGCCGUGAGGUGCUGAGGCAAGCGCGCGGCGCUCAGCCAAUUUCCAGAAGAACGCGCAUCCCUCCUAGAACAUCCACUUAAAAUUACAUUAAAAAAUUAACAAGCUGGUCUUGGAGCGGAGGAAUGGGUUUCGGCACAGAAGGAGAGAAAAAUCGGAAAAAAACGGGUUCUUCCAGCCCAAUUUCCCUCAUAAUUGGGUGUCUUUUUGAGCUGGCUAAUUAAACGGCAUUUUCCCCGA